UAGCGACACGUUACGGAGAGGACUGUGAGAGACCCUGCAGUCAUAACUGUAUAAACGGAACCUGUCAUGCAAACAACGGAACAUGUACCUUAGGUUGUGAUGGAAAUUACUUUGAUGCGAAAUGUCAAAAUGCUUUGUAUGAUGGCAGCUAUAUUUCGAAUUCUAAACAGGCUAUUUAUAUCGGUUCUGUAACUGGGGUCGUCGGCUCUCUUUUAGUUGUAAUGGUACUAAUACAUUUUUUCAGAUCAAGAAAAAGAGAAAAUAUUUACUCAACAUCUGGUGUUGCAUAUAAGGAAAAUAAUUAUG
This is a long non-coding RNA of Saccostrea cuccullata (small rock oyster), 306 nucleotides long. RefSeq lists it as uncharacterized. The transcript has 3 exons. The record is from RefSeq and is a predicted model, not a curated record. Lineage: Eukaryota; Metazoa; Mollusca; Bivalvia; Ostreida; Ostreidae.